CUCGGAUCAGCUUCAGUAUCUCUCGGCAGGGCAGAGGUUCCUGGAGGAAUCUAUGACCUCCAGUGGGUACAGUCAGUCCCCAACAGUCAUGUGGAGAAUCCAGGGCAGAGAAUCCACGGCAGAGAAUGGUCCUGCAACCCCGUAGCAUGGCGAUUCUGCCAGGAGGGCUGUGGCACACCUGGUUUUGGAAUAACAAGAACACUGGGAUGGAAGAUCAGGAUCUGGUCAAGAGUGAAAAGAAAACUAACUUAACUUCAAAUGUUUGACUGGCCCUGGAGAACUUCGGUGUGUACCAAGCUGUGUGGCUGAGAAAUCAACUAAGAACAGGAGGAGCAUGAGAAGUACGUUUUGAAUUGAAUGGAAAUUCCUUUGGAGACAGAAGCUGAUCUAGA
This 392-nucleotide long non-coding RNA is filed under the name Equus asinus (donkey). RNAcentral's name for it is "lncRNA (ENSEASG00005032899.1)". Lineage: Eukaryota; Metazoa; Chordata; Mammalia; Perissodactyla; Equidae. The record is from RNAcentral.